Molecule: long non-coding RNA, 306 nt
Filed under: Setaria italica (foxtail millet)
Lineage: Eukaryota; Viridiplantae; Streptophyta; Magnoliopsida; Poales; Poaceae
Description: long non-coding RNA (SITA_LNC003303)
Source: RNAcentral
CAGCGGUGGUCGCCAUGCUGAAAGGCGAGGCGGACGUGGACACUGAGAUGAUCAGCAAGCCCGACGUGAUCAGGGACUUCAGGGACCUGAAGCUCCGGAGCAGGGCCACGUCGUCGACGCUGCUGACCUCCAUCAUGGCGCGCUCGUCCCCGCUGUCGUCUGGAGAGACGACGCGGACCUCCAUCACCUUUACAGCGAUAUCGGAGCGCGACUGAUGAUCGGCGACGAGGCUGGAUGCAACUGCGACCGUGUAGCUAGUGCAAAUUGGAUGUAGCAUAGGCGAGAAUUCCUUUUCGGUGGUUGUGU